GCUACAAGCUUGCGAUCGCCCGUGGUAAGACGUAUGGUGCUAGCGGUAAUCGGAAGUACUGGGCGUAAAGGGGGCGCAGGCGGCCGCGCAAGUCGAGUGUGAAAGCCCCGAGCUUAACUUGGGAAUUGCGCUCGAAACUACGUGGCUGGAGUGUGGCAGAGGAAGGUGGAAUUCCAGGUGUAGCGGUGAAAUGCGUAGAGAUCUGGAGGAACACCGAUGGCGAAGGCAGCCUUCUGGGCCAACACUGACGCUCAUGCACGAAAGCGUGGGGAGCAAACAGGAUUAGAUACCCGAGUAGUC
This 300-nucleotide ribosomal RNA is filed under the name uncultured Azoarcus sp. Its description in RNAcentral is "partial 16S ribosomal RNA". It matches the Rfam family "Bacterial small subunit ribosomal RNA", at positions 496 to 795 of the family's 1533-position model. Lineage: Bacteria; Pseudomonadati; Pseudomonadota; Betaproteobacteria; Rhodocyclales; Zoogloeaceae. The record is from RNAcentral.